AGUCUCGUGGUCCAACGGUACGACGCCAGCAAUCCUCCCAAUUGAGAUCAGCCGGAUAUUGCGGGUUCAAUUCCCGCCGGGGCGA
Mycena leptocephala is the source of this 85-nucleotide non-coding RNA. The record is from the annotation of a GenBank genome assembly. Lineage: Eukaryota; Fungi; Basidiomycota; Agaricomycetes; Agaricales; Mycenaceae.